Mesocricetus auratus (golden hamster) is the source of this 938-nucleotide long non-coding RNA. RefSeq lists it as uncharacterized. The record is from RefSeq and is a predicted model, not a curated record. The transcript has 2 exons. NCBI's taxonomy places the organism in Eukaryota, Metazoa, Chordata, Mammalia, Rodentia, Cricetidae.
GUUGUUGUCCCCGCCCACUCGGGGGGCCGCCCCAAAGGCCCACUGGACAGGGUCCCCUCUGGGUCCCUCUCGGGAGCCUCGCUUCCGGUGCCCACCCAGUGAUCCACGCACCGGCCCCGCCCACCCAGGACUUCCGGUUUUCACGCCUUCGACCCUUGAGCCGAGCGCUUCUGGCGUCUCCCGAAGUCCGUGCGGUUUUUAGCCUGCUGGCUUUCACGUGUAUUAUUAGUUAAGCCUCCCUCGCCUCCACCCGGUGUUACGGCUGCAGUUUUCUGGCAGCUCUCGAGUCCCAUUCCUGGGGCAAAUUAAUCUGCAGAUUAAGCGAGCCUGGUGUGACUGGUGAUCAGUGAGCUCCCCUUCCUGGGAAAGAUGCCCUUCGCAAAGUGGGCACCUGUUACACCGUCGGGGGUCACAGGUGCCGAUGGGAGAUGGACUGUGAAGGGCCGAGUCUUACUAAAACUCUUGACGCAGGGGCUCAGGCGACAAAGGUGGAAGCAGUCUUCGAAUGGAGUCGGCACACCUGCCUCGUCUUGCUUUGCGCGAAUUCUUUCUUCCUGAGGACGUUUCCUCUAGGACCAGGGUGAACUUUGAGGGUCUCCACUGCAACUGAGGCUGCACCCGCAACAAUGGCCUUUUUCAGGGACUUCAGUCCCGCCACAACAUCAGCUGCUCUUCAUGACUUCGGGCUCUCAAAAUGGACACCAUCUGGUUGAAUCUCACACAUUGUCAAGAUUGGCUGACAACAUGAGAUGCAGCCUUGGCCACUCUGGAUCACAGCUUCUCUGUGCUGACCCUGAGGAAAUAGUCACAGAAGAUUUUACCUCAAUGAUUCUGGUCUCUUCUCUUCUCCUUCCUUCCUUCCUUCCUUCCUUCCUUCCUUCCUUCCUUUCGGGUGUUGUUCUGUUUUUGUUUUUGGAAUUAAAGGCAUGUGCCACCAA